This is a long non-coding RNA of Megalobrama amblycephala (Wuchang bream), 4777 nucleotides long. RefSeq lists it as uncharacterized. Lineage: Eukaryota; Metazoa; Chordata; Actinopteri; Cypriniformes; Xenocyprididae. The record is from RefSeq and is a predicted model, not a curated record. The transcript is spliced from 2 exons.
ACAGAGGAACCAGAACGGCAGCUGGGGGUUUAAGGGAAUUAAAUACGGGCUUGGAGAGAAGCAGGAACGGCAGGGGAUUAUACCGUUCACCGGAGAGAGAAAGAAAGAGAGAGAGAGAGAGAGAGUGAGACAGAGAUGUGUAUGAUUGAAGUGUGCGGAGUUUUUGUUUGCAACCAUAAUGUAAAACAUCUCGAGCAAUGCGCGAAUUAAGGUGAUAUUUAUCAGUGUGUUGAUAUAAAUCUGGAUAUUUUUGAAGUUAUCAAGUUUACAGUAAACUCUGAAAGUGUUUAGCAGAAGUGAACAGGUGUAGUGCAGUUUCGUCAUCGAUCAAUUCCUAUUUAAAAUUAUGGUGCAGCGAAUCAAAUAAACGAUUCGACCUCACGUGAUUUAAAAACAUUAAAUGGGUGUAAAAUCACAAGUGACGGUUUUAGACGAAGGUCAAGCUAAAUUCAUUUUGUAUGAGGUAAAUUACAUUUUAAAUUCUGACUUGAACUUCAAAUAACGAGAGAAAAAAGAUAUUGUUCAAUGGUCAUUUCUUGUCAGGGUCUCUUUUUUAAUUAAUUCAACAUAUGCCAGAUGUCAGAUGAAGGAAAACUCGUAAAGGUCAUCUUAUUUGAGGGUUAAUCACGGCUGGUUUAAUUAAUUCAACAUACCUGGGCUAAAACAGAAGAAAGACCUCCAAACGACCUGAAAGAGACACGCGUUGACCUUCAGUGAAGCCCUGAUGCGCGCGCGGUGAUGCACCUGCCAACUACAUUAUCAAGAAAAUUACUCUUUCUUUUGUCAAAAUAGUAACUGCUAAAUAAAAUAAUAAAAACACAAGCACAAUUGAAUUACAAAUCCCUGAGAGGAUGCCAAAAUUCAUUUAUAAAAUAUAUAUCGUUUAGCACUCAUUGUUUUCCUUUUAUAGACAAGAGUUUUUGUAAGUUGUAAUUUUCAAAUCAUGGAACAAAUGUAAAUGUGUUUUUAACUGGUUUGCUUCGUUUGUAUCUCAAAAUAGGCCAGUGAUCUAUGAAUAUGAUCUAUGAAAAAUACAAAAACAAAACAAAAAGGAAUUAAUAACCCGAAAUCGUCCUCAAUAAUUCACACUGAGAAGAGAAUAAAUAAGAAAUCAGGGGUAAAAGAAAAAAAAAGGCUCUUGUUCCUUGAGCACAUUGUUUGAAAUCGAAUAUAUAAGCAUUAGAGAAAAACAAUAUCUAACAAACACAGCAUUAAACAGCAUUAAAUCAUGUUAUUCUGCAUAUUUUAUUUAAUCAUUUUCGACAGAUUUAAGUAUUUAAAAUUGGGUUUUCUUUCUUUCUAAACGCUCUCACCGGUUUUUUUUUUUUUUUUUUUUAAUUGAAAACAUUUUUCAUUGAACACAAGAUGCAAAGAGUGCUACUGGGGUAUAAAGUCCGUAUCUCGGUGCUUUUUGUAUAUAUAUAUAUAUAUAAAAAAAAUAUAUAUAUUAGACUGUUUUUAAAAUGCUAAAUCCAUGAAUAAAUAAGACUUUUUCUAUUUUUUUCCAAACUCUCGAGUGCCUUGGCCUCAUAUGUUUUUUACAAUGCUAACAUUUUUUCAUUAAGCCAAUAUAAAAUUAAUUCAUACUUAAAUAAUUAUUCGUAACUAAUAUUCGUUGGGGCAUUAAAAAUGAAACCACCGUCAUAAACACAAACUAGCGUCAGAGCUUUCUGAACCUUAGCUUUAAAACAUAAUUUGAAUGAAUUGAUCACAUUAUUUGCAGUUCACAGUAUUCUUUAAUAUAAUAAUAAUAAAUUAAUUAAUAAUAUCAAUAUCAAUUCAUAAAAAAAAUCUAAGUGUAAUUUAUUAAUUGUUAAUUGCAAAUAUUGUUCAUAUAUUAUUGAGUUUAAAUCAACAUUAAUAAGUGUAAUAUCAUAUUAAACAGUCUGAAAUCACUUCGUGUAUUAUGAGCAAUUAUUGCUCUUUUAAUUUAAUAUAUGCUCCAUUUAAUAAAUAAGACAUCACAAUGCUAAAACAUUUUGUAAGUACAAACAUCAGCUCGGUGAUUUAUACAGUCUGUCUGACACCACAUCUCAAAAAAACAAAACAACAAAUGUGUACUAAUUCAGUGUAAACGAAAUUAUACCACAAAAUGUUAAUUCGUUUUAAUUAUACAGUUUUCAUUAAUUAACGAAGAUCGUUUGGUCCAUGUGACAUAUACUGAAGAAAAAAAAAAAAGUAGUGUAAGUACUGGAUUGUGUAGAAUUAAAAUAUCAUAUUUCAACAGGGAAAAUCUUACAAUUUGCCAUUACAUUUCGUCAUUAUUACGGACAUCAUUUUUUUUUUAAAGAAAAAAAGAAUCCAAUUUUAGACCGACAUCAACUGAAACUUCCUCGCAUCAGAAUAUAAGAAUGGAAAAAUGGUCUCGAAUUUCUCUCUUUAAAAAAACUGAACACUAAUGCACGUGAUUACAAAUAAUAAUUAUCAUCAAUUUCCCCUAACAUUUUUGAACGAUAGGAUCGCAAGUAAAUGUUGGCCGGAAGGAAGAACACACGAUGUGCGCAGGUGCGUUUCACGCGGACUUCAGAAGAGACAAAAAUCCUCUAUAGACAAGUAUAUAAACUGAUAUUAUAAAUUACACUUAUACUUUAUAUUUGUAUCUAACAGGUAGACUAAACAUUGAGUCCUUGAUUUUACCACCAAACCUUCAAUCAAAGAGAAAGAGAGGAAAGAAAGAAAGAAAGAAAAGGCGUUACAACAGCCAGUGCUUCACUAAAUAGUGUAUAAUAAAACAAUAAAGUACACACAUUUACAUUCAAAUGUAAAAAGUAUUAUUGAAAUGAAUACAUGAUUUAGAUCUAUAUGCACCUAAAAAAGCAAAUUCUUUUUUCCUUGCGUUUGUAGUAAUGAAUUUUAGUAGGCUAAUUGAUUCAAUGCUUUUCAAAUUUUAGAUUAUUAUUAUAAAAGACAAUUUAAGAGGAAAACCAGCCACAGUGUGGUGUACACUUCCCCAAAAUGAUUUGAAUUCCGUUCAGAAAUCAUUUAUAAUAUAAGUAUAAUCUCCUAAAACUAGGACAAGUGUUCUAGCAAAUUGCAUGCUAUUUAACCCUGGCUUAUUUUAUGUGCACAUUUAAGACGUAUCCUAACCAAAGAGUCAUAAAGUUUCUCAUACAGACUCUCAAACCUUUUUUCCUUAAGUAGAUAACUCUGCUUCAUUCACUCUUCCUUACACUUCAAACAGGAGGGUCAUUUAUUUUGCACAGUCCAGAUUGAAUUUAUACUGCCUGUCCCUUGGCUUGGCUUUAAUUUCUGACUGCCUGUCUUUAAUUUAGCAGGGCUACUCAGAGCUGAAAAGACAGCCAUGAAGCUCACAUUCAGCUAAGCAACGGCCGGGGCCAGGAAUGCUGACCUUGGCGGGUGAACCGGGCCAAAGACUGAGACCACACGGUUAAUCUGGCAAAGGCUUGAGAAGACUUUGAAAGCGUUUUGAAAAGUGGAAUGAAGCAGAGGCUGAUAAGAUGUGGUAAGAUCUGACUACUGAAGGUAAAGCUUUACAAUAUUUUGGAUUUUACUGUAAUGAUAAAGAUUUUGCAAGUUUAUCAUGGUCUAAAGCAAACUAUGUAAUACUUUUUUGUUGUGCCAUAUAAUCUACCAUAUCAACAUGUGUGGCUAAUGCAUCAUAGAAGAGGGAUAUAAAACCACAAUGGUGUAAUAAGAUUUAAGUCCCUUGGCCUGACCUGACCAAGUCGGGUAGAUCACGUAUGCUCAGCGAUGAGAUAAACUACGGAAAGCUGCACAGUGAUUGGUCACCUGUGGUGAGGCUCCAUCGGGAUUGGAGCAGAAUGCAGCUCUCACACCUUAUCAGGUUGGUGCACAGCAUUGCUGCAGGAGAGCGAGUCUCAGGAGGAAACGCCUGCAAGGGCUGCGCUUAUCUUACACCAGCAAGAGGCCUUCAUGCCUCUGAUUAAGAGAGAGAGACCAACUCAUGUGUACCUUCAGGAGACUAUGUUUUGGGGGGACAAUAUAAUGUAUGUCUAAAAAAUAUUAUAUGUUUUUACUCAGUCAAAACCCAGUUUUGAUUAGCAGGAGAUUAUUAGCAUUUACAAAAGUAAAAUAUAUUUAAACUUUAUAUAUAUAUAUAUAUAUAUAUAACACUGUUAAAAAAUUGCCAGGAAUUAAAGAGUAUUAUUUUACAAUAAAUUACUGUCAUUUUCUUACGAAUUACUGUUAAUCAACAGCAAAAUGAUGCUGACUUCACAGUAAUUUACUGCUCUACUGUUAAUUCACAUUUUAAAGUUGUCUUGCAUGAAACUGCAAGAAAUUAUAUUGUUUACCACUGUAAUUGGUUUGUGGUCACCAUAACGAUGAUCAGUGUUCCAUUUGAUUGGGAUCUUUGACCCUGUAUUUGCAUUAAAAUUUCUGUUCUAGCCAAGUCAGAAGGGUGACAGAUGAAAACAUGUGUUAAAACAAUGACAAACUAGAAUAUAAAAUAAGAUAAUUGGCUGAUUUUAAGUUAAUCAAACUAUACUAUUAUUAACGUUAUUUCAGCAUGAAGAUUAACCAAUAUCUUACUUCAAAUUCAUAACUGUUUGUAGAUGGAUAUUUCACAAUAGUAAAGCAGCUGCUGAGAUUUAUCUUUGAAAGGUGUGACAUUGUUGUGCAACACAAGAUUAUUUUUUCUUCCAUUACCUAAUGAUGCACAGACAUCUAUACUCGACAUACAAAACACAACAAUGGUGAUGUUCAACAAAUAAUAAUAAUAAAAAAAGAUCAAUUCUGAACAUUAUGAAAUACACAACACAAACUGCUAAAAGUGAAUCAGAAAUAAAGUUCAGCA